AUGGAGAAGCAUCUGAGGACCUCCUUCGUGGUUUUGUGGCUUCAUUUUUGUUGGGUGAGUGGCAAAAACCAAGUGGAACAGAGUCCUCCAUCCCUGAUCAUCGUGGAGGGAGAAAACUGCACAUUUCAAUGCAAUUAUACAGUGAGUCCUUUUAACAACUUAAGGCGGUACAAACUGGACACUGGGAGAGGUCCUGUUUCCCUGAUAACUAUGACCCACAGUGGUAGCAAAAAGUUGAAUGGAAGGCACACAGUGACUCUGGAUACAACCACCAAGCACAGUUCCCUGCACAUCACAGCCGCCCAGCUCAGUGAUCCAGCCUUCUACAUCUGUGUGGUGGGUGCACCGUGCGCCCCAGGCACUUGCAGCCAGUACCCAAACCUGAACCUGGAGAUUGUCAAGGAGCCUUAA
Diceros bicornis minor is the source of this 411-nucleotide non-coding RNA. The record is from the annotation of a RefSeq genome assembly. Lineage: Eukaryota; Metazoa; Chordata; Mammalia; Perissodactyla; Rhinocerotidae.